AAUAUUGGACAAUGGGGGCAACCCUGAUCCACCCAUCCCGCGUGUGUGAGGAAGGUCUCCGGAUUGUAAAGCACUUUAAGUGGGGAGGAAGGGCUUUGGGUUAAUACCCUGAAGUUUUGACGUUACCAACAGAAUAAGCCCCGGCGAACUCUGUGCCAGCAGCCGCGGUAAUACUGAGGGUGCAAGCGUUAAUCGGAAUUACGGGGCGUAAAGAGGGGGUAGGUGGUUCAGUAAGAUGGGUGUGAAAUCCCCGGGCUUAACCUGGGAACUGCUUUCAUAACUGCUGAGCUAGAGUACGGUAGAGGGUAGUGGAAUUUCCUGUGUAGCGGUGAAAUGCGUAGAUAUAGGAAGGAACACCAGUGGCGAAGGCGACUACCUGGACUGAUACUGACACUGAGGUGCGAAAGCGUGGGGAGCAAACA
This 422-nucleotide ribosomal RNA is filed under the name uncultured bacterium. RNAcentral's name for it is "partial 16S ribosomal RNA". It matches the Rfam family "Bacterial small subunit ribosomal RNA", at positions 360 to 774 of the family's 1533-position model. The record is from RNAcentral.